This 119-nucleotide ribosomal RNA is filed under the name Pteropus alecto (black flying fox). The record is from RNAcentral. Lineage: Eukaryota; Metazoa; Chordata; Mammalia; Chiroptera; Pteropodidae.
GUCUACGGCCACGCCACCCUGAACGUGCCCGAUCCCGGGUGAUCUCAGAAGCUAAGCAGGGUCCAGCCCGGUUAGUACUUGGAUGGGAGACCACCUAGGAAGACCAGGUGUGGAAGGAA